Molecule: long non-coding RNA, 523 nt
Filed under: Saimiri boliviensis boliviensis (Bolivian squirrel monkey)
Lineage: Eukaryota; Metazoa; Chordata; Mammalia; Primates; Cebidae
Description: lncRNA (ENSSBOG00000036525.1)
Source: RNAcentral
CCGGGAGCCGUCCCCCAGGAAGAUCCCCACCACCAGCUCCUUCCUGUCCCCAUGGUGUCCCCUCACUCCUUCCUUCUGGAUGGGGGCCAGAGGGCAAAGGAGGGUAUAAAGGCGACCUGGAGGGACCCAGGCACAAGCAGACGCCAGCGAAGACUCUCCCGGCCAGAUCCCUGGGAUGCGCCAGCCAGAGGCCAUGCUGCUGCUGCUCACCCUGGCCCUCCUGGGGGGCCCCACCUGGGCAGGGAAGAUGUAUGGUCCUGGAGGAGGGAAGUAUUUCAGCACCACGGAAGACUACGACCACGACAUCACAGGGCUGCGGGUGUCUUCGGCUCUUAUGGUGAAAAGUGUCCAGGUGAGACUUGGCGACUCCUGGGAUGUUAAACAGGGCGCCUCAGGUGGGCAGACCCAGGAAGUCAUCCUGGAGCAAGGCGAAUACAUCAUAAAAGUCGUUGGCGCCUUCAAAGUUUUCCUGCAGGGUAUGGCCCUGUGCACCAACAAAGGCCGCUGUUUCUAUUUUGGGAAG